GAUGAACGCUGGCGGCGUGCCUAAUACAUGCAAGUCGAGCGAACAGACGAGGAGCUUGCUCCUCUGACGUUAGCGGCGGACGGGUGAGUAACACGUGGAUAACCUACCUAUAAGACUGGGAUAACUUCGGGAAACCGGAGCUAAUACCGGAUAAUAUAUUGAACCGCAUGGUUCAAUAGUGAAAGACGGUUUUGCUGUCACUUAUAGAUGGAUCCGCGCCGCAUUAGCUAGUUGGUAAGGUAACGGCUUACCAAGGCAACGAUGCGUAACCGACCUGAGAGGGUGAUCGGCCACACUGGAACUGAGACACGGUCCCGACUCCUACGGGAGGCAGCAAUAGGGAAUCUUCCGCAAUGGGCGAAAGCCUGACGGAGCAACGCCGCGUGAGUGAUGAAGGUCUUCGGAUCGUAAAACUCUGUUAUUAGGGAAGAACAAAUGUGUAAGUAACUAUGCACGUCUUGACGGUACCUAAUCAGAAAGCCACGGCUAACUACGUG
This 497-nucleotide ribosomal RNA is filed under the name uncultured bacterium. RNAcentral's name for it is "partial 16S ribosomal RNA". It matches the Rfam family "Bacterial small subunit ribosomal RNA", at positions 28 to 507 of the family's 1533-position model. The record is from RNAcentral.